CCUACGGUGGACAGCAGUGAGGAAUAUUGGUCAAUGGACGAGAGUCUGAACCAGCCAAGUAGCGUGAAGGAUGACUGCCCUAUGGGUUGUAAACUUCUUUUAUAAAGGAAUAAAACGAGGCACGUGUGCCUUUUCUCAUGUACUUUAUGAAUAAGGAUCGGCUAACUCCGUGCCAGCAGCCGCGGUAAUACGGAGGAUCCGAGCGUUAUCCCGAUUUAUUGGGUUUAAAGGGAGCGUAGAUGGGUUGUUAAGUCAGUUGUGAAAGUUUGGGGGUCAACCGUCAAAUUGCAAUUGAUACUGGCAGUCUUGAGUACAGUUGAGGUAGGCGGAAUUCGUGGUGUAGCGGUGAAAUGCUUAGAUAUCACGAAGAACCCCGAUUGCGAAGGCAGCUUACUAAACUGUGACUGACAUUGAUGCUCGAAAGUGUGGGUAUCAAACAGGAUUAGAUACCCCGGUAGUC
RNAcentral lists this ribosomal RNA (460 nucleotides) under uncultured bacterium. RNAcentral's name for it is "partial 16S ribosomal RNA". It matches the Rfam family "Bacterial small subunit ribosomal RNA", at positions 338 to 795 of the family's 1533-position model. The record is from RNAcentral.